GGCUACCACAUCCAAGGAAGGCAGCAGGCGCGCAAAUUACCCAAUCCCGACACGGGGAGGUAGUGACAAUAAAUACUGAUACAGGGCUCUUUUGGGUCUUGUAAUUGGAAUGAGUACAAUUUAAAUACCUUAACGAGGAACAAUUGGAGGGCAAGUCUGGUGCCAGCAGCCGCGGUAAUUCCAGCUCCAAUAGCGUAUAUUAAAGUUGUUGCAGUUAAAAAGCUCGUAGUUGAACCUUGGGCCUGGCUGGCCGGUCCGCCUCACCGCGUGCACUGGUCCGGCCGGGCCUUUCCUUCUGGGGAUCCGCAUGGCCUUCACUGGGCGUGUCGGGGAACCAGGACUUUUACUUUGAAAAAAUUAGAGUGUUCAAAGCAGGCCUUUGCUCGAAUACAUUAGCAUGGAAUAAUGGAAUAGGACGUGCGGUCCUAUUUUGUUGGUUUCUAGGACCGCCGUAAUGAUUAAUAGGGAUAGUCGGGGGCAUCAGU
RNAcentral lists this ribosomal RNA (485 nucleotides) under Diplodia tumefaciens. RNAcentral describes it as "SSU rRNA". It matches the Rfam family "Eukaryotic small subunit ribosomal RNA", at positions 405 to 895 of the family's 1831-position model. Lineage: Eukaryota; Fungi; Ascomycota; Dothideomycetes; Botryosphaeriales; Botryosphaeriaceae. The record is from RNAcentral.